AAUGACGAGAAGCUUGCUUCUCUGAUUUAGCGGCGGACGGGUGAGUAACACGUGGGCAACCUGCCCUGUAGACUGGGAUAACUUCGGGAAACCGGAGCUAAUACCGGAUAAUUCUUUUAGCCUCAUGGCUUUAAGCUAAAAGGCGCUUCGGCGUCACUACAGGAUGGGCCCGCGGUGCAUUAGCUAGUUGGUGGGGUAACGGCCUACCAAGGCAACGAUGCAUAGCCGACCUGAGAGGGUGAUCGGCCACAUUGGGACUGAGACACGGCCCAAACUCCUACGGGAGGCAGCAGUAGGGAAUCUUCCACAAUGGACGAAAGUCUGAUGGAGCAACGCCGCGUGAGUGAUGAAGGUUUUCGGAUCGUAAAACUCUGUUGUAAGGGAAGAACAAGUGCGUUAGGUAAUGAACGCACCUUGACGGUACCUUAUUAGAAAGCCACGGCUAACUACGUGCCAGCAGCCGCGGUAAUACGUAGGUGGCAAGCGUUGUCCGGAUUUAUUGGGCGUAAAGCGCGCGCAGGUGGUUUCUUAAGUCUGAUGUGAAAGCCCACGGCUCAACCGUGGAGGGUCAUUGGAAACU
This 580-nucleotide ribosomal RNA is filed under the name Kurthia sp. RNAcentral describes it as "bacterial SSU rRNA". It matches the Rfam family "Bacterial small subunit ribosomal RNA", at positions 69 to 634 of the family's 1533-position model. Lineage: Bacteria; Bacillati; Bacillota; Bacilli; Caryophanales; Caryophanaceae. The record is from RNAcentral.